Long non-coding RNA from Triticum aestivum (bread wheat), 1122 nucleotides. RefSeq lists it as uncharacterized. The transcript is spliced from 3 exons. The record is from RefSeq and is a predicted model, not a curated record. Lineage: Eukaryota; Viridiplantae; Streptophyta; Magnoliopsida; Poales; Poaceae.
GCUGGGCUGACGCACGGGGAGCAGUCCUACAAAAAGAAAUACCAGCACAACUCUCCUCCUCAAUGCCUACAGGUACGGCAUCGCUGCCGCCGCCACCACGCGGCGCGACCUUCUUCCCCGGCCGUUCACCAGCACGGGCUCUCCUCCUCAAUGCCUACAGGUACGGCACCGCGGCCGCCACCACGCGCUUCCUCCCCUGCCGCUUUGUCGCCAUGCCGUGACGGCGUACUAGGCCUUGCCGGGCGCCGAGGACCAACGGAUCAAUACCUCCGCCCACUCCGGCCUCCACCACACCAGCCCGAACCGCUGCUCACGGGCACGGGGGGAUGGAGAACCCCGACGGGCACGCAAGAGCUGACGCGGGGGCGGGUCUGGGCAGUGACCCACCCGGGCUUCCCCCACCCACACCGCUGCCCUUGGACGCCACGGGGGUGGGUCUGGCCGUCCUGGCAGGGACCCGGCCAAGGUUCUCCCACCGCCAGCCCCGCAUCUCCCCGGGGCACCCCGUAUGACGAGGCGUAGGCAGCCAACGGAUCCGCAUACCCGGCCGAGCAUGCUCAUUGAACGGGACCUUCCACGAGGCGGCGGGCUACCAGGCAGCGGAGGCCACAAAGAUGGCUAAGCUACCAGGCCACCGCCGAGAUGGCUGAGCCCAUGGUCCCCGAGCAGUCAUACAAGGAUGAUGUGGCUUCAGUGGAAGAGGCUAGAUUAUGGUAUGUUGUCACCAUGGAUUUCUUUGACUUCGAUGCUUGGACCGCACUUAUUUGAGAGACAGAGAGAAUUGCUGAGCUCAGAGCAACAUAGUGAAAAUAUGAAAAGUGUAUGAUGCAUUCCUUGUGAAGUCCCCUUUGAGCUUUGGCUAUUGGAAGAAAUAUGCAGAUCAUGAAGGCCUUCUAGAUGGUGUCAAUAAAGUUUUUGAGGUGUAUGGAUGGGCAGUUCUUGUAGUUACUUAUUCAGUGGACAUAUUGUGUAAUUAUUGUCAGUUUGUGAUUUCAACAUACAAUGGCACAGAUGUCAUCAGAAGGUAGCAAUUGAGUACCCAAACUAUUCUGAUGAAGUUUUUAACUUCUUUUUGUGUCUUGACUUUUGUUAGCUACUGCAUUUUAUGUCAUAUGUACAGGA